RNAcentral lists this non-coding RNA (131 nucleotides) under Tepidibacillus decaturensis. RNAcentral describes it as "Molybdenum/Tungsten riboswitch aptamer (Moco RNA motif)". It matches the Rfam family "Molybdenum/Tungsten riboswitch aptamer (Moco RNA motif)". The record is from Rfam by way of RNAcentral. RNAcentral also lists the same sequence under 1 other name. Lineage: Bacteria; Bacillati; Bacillota; Bacilli; Caryophanales; Bacillaceae.
AUAUAGUAACUUCUUCGAGCAUAUUAGCCUAAGGUUAAUCUAUGGCUGGUACGCCUGAGCAGUUAGCUCACAGGGUAUAUCUGGAAACGGAUAUGCCUUCCGUUAUGAAAAGAAGGGGGGAUUUUUAUAGA